AGCGAACGCUGGCGGCAGGCCUAACACAUGCAAGUCGAACGAACUCUUCGGAGUUAGUGGCGGACGGGUGAGUAACACGUGGGAACGUGCCUUUUGGUUCGGAAUAACUCAGGGAAACUUGUGCUAAUACCGAAUGUGCCCUUCGGGGGAAAGAUUUAUCGCCAUUAGAGCGGCCCGCGUCUGAUUAGCUAGUUGGUGAGGUAACGGCUCACCAAGGCGACGAUCAGUAGCUGGUCUGAGAGGAUGACCAGCCACACUGGGACUGAGACACGGCCCAGACUCCUACGGGAGGCAGCAGUGGGGAAUCUUGCGCAAUGGGCGAAAGCCUGACGCAGCCAUGCCGCGUGAAUGAUGAAGGUCUUAGGAUUGUAAAAUUCUUUCACCGGGGACGAUAAUGACGUUACCCGGAGAAGAAGCCCCGGCUAACUUCGUG
This 433-nucleotide ribosomal RNA is filed under the name uncultured bacterium. Its description in RNAcentral is "partial 16S ribosomal RNA". It matches the Rfam family "Bacterial small subunit ribosomal RNA", at positions 29 to 507 of the family's 1533-position model. The record is from RNAcentral.